Molecule: ribosomal RNA, 459 nt
Filed under: uncultured bacterium
Lineage: Bacteria
Description: partial 16S ribosomal RNA
Rfam family: Bacterial small subunit ribosomal RNA
Source: RNAcentral
CCUACGGGAGGCAGCAGUGAGGAAUAUUGGUCAAUGGGAGAGAUCCUGAACCAGCCAAGCCGCGUGAGGGAAGACGGCCCUCUGGGUUGUAAACCUCUUUUGUCGGCGAAAAAAACCCGGGACGUGUCCCGGAAUGCGUGUAUCCGAAGAUAACGCAUCGGCUCACUCCGUGCAAGCAGCAGCGGUAAUACGGAGGAUGCGAGCGUUAUCCGGAUUUAUUGGGUUUAACGGGUGCGCAGGCGGAAGGUCAGGCCAGCGGGAAAAUUGAGAGGCUCAACCUCUGCGAGCCGUUGACACUGGUUGGCUAGAGUGAGUGAGAAGUAUGCGGAAUGCGUGGUGUAGCGGUGAAAUGCAUAGAUAUCACGCGGAACGCCGAUGGCGAAGGCAGCAUACCGGCGGUCAACUGACGCUCAGGCACGAAAGUGUGGGUAGCGAACAGGAUUAGAUACCCCAGUAGUC